RNAcentral lists this ribosomal RNA (763 nucleotides) under Microbacterium sp. RNAcentral describes it as "bacterial SSU rRNA". It matches the Rfam family "Bacterial small subunit ribosomal RNA", at positions 31 to 806 of the family's 1533-position model. Lineage: Bacteria; Bacillati; Actinomycetota; Actinomycetes; Micrococcales; Microbacteriaceae. The record is from RNAcentral.
GAACGCUGGCGGCGUGCUUAACACAUGCAAGUCGAACGGUGAAGCCCAGCUUGCUGGGUGGAUCAGUGGCGAACGGGUGAGUAACACGUGAGCAAUCUGCCCCUGACUCUGGGAUAAGCGCUGGAAACGGCGUCUAAUACCGGAUAUGAGCCACCAUCGCAUGGUGAGUGGUUGGAAAGAUUUUUCGGUCUGGGAUGAGCUCGCGGCCUAUCAGCUUGUUGGUGAGGUAAUGGCUCACCAAGGCGUCGACGGGUAGCCGGCCUGAGAGGGUGACCGGCCACACUGGGACUGAGACACGGCCCAGACUCCUACGGGAGGCAGCAGUGGGGAAUAUUGCACAAUGGGCGGAAGCCUGAUGCAGCAACGCCGCGUGAGGGACGACGGCCUUCGGGUUGUAAACCUCUUUUAGCAGGGAAGAAGCGAAAGUGACGGUACCUGCAGAAAAAGCGCCGGCUAACUACGUGCCAGCAGCCGCGGUAAUACGUAGGGCGCAAGCGUUAUCCGGAAUUAUUGGGCGUAAAGAGCUCGUAGGCGGUUUGUCGCGUCUGCUGUGAAAUCCCGAGGCUCAACCUCGGGUCUGCAGUGGGUACGGGCAGACUAGAGUGCGGUAGGGGAGAUUGGAAUUCCUGGUGUAGCGGUGGAAUGCGCAGAUAUCAGGAGGAACACCGAUGGCGAAGGCAGAUCUCUGGGCCGUAACUGACGCUGAGGAGCGAAAGGGUGGGGAGCAAACAGGCUUAGAUACCCUGGUAGUCCACCCCGUAAA